This 1431-nucleotide long non-coding RNA is filed under the name Panax ginseng (ginseng). Its description in RNAcentral is "long non-coding RNA (PGIN_LNC005153)". The record is from RNAcentral. Lineage: Eukaryota; Viridiplantae; Streptophyta; Magnoliopsida; Apiales; Araliaceae.
AAAAAAUUUAGCUUCCCUCUAGACCUUUUUAGUUCCCCCAAACGAUUUUCCUUUUUGUAUGACCUGAUCUGUUCUUUCUCCUCUCUAGUAAUUUUGCAUCUUCUACUUCUAAUUUCACUAAUUUUGAAAUUAUGUAUCACUAAUUCUGUAUCUUCUACUUCUAAUUUCCAUCUCCAAUCAGCCCUAAUUCCUUUUUGAAAAACCUAAUUUGUUCACGAUCUUCCUCUCUUGCCCUAGUUCUACGAUUGAGGGUUUUUUCACUUAGGACUGUACAGAUUCGAUGAGGAUAAGAAGAGAGAAUAAAUAGCAGAUCACAGUUUUUGACUACAGGCAAUAAGAAGAAAAUCUCGGGCUUCUUUUAGGUAAUUAGAUUGCAUGUGUUUCUGUAUAUAUAUAGCUAUAUGUAUACAUUAUACGUAUAUAUAUAUAUAUAUAUAUAUAUAUAUAUAUAUAUAUAUUUGUGAAUUAUCUUAUUUAUAUAUUAAAUUCUUAAAUUCAUGAUAUGUGUUGGCUAUUUUUUUUUUAUAAAAAAACUGAAUUCACAAACAAACUCUUAAGCCGUCUUCAAUUAAAUUGGGGAAAAGCCUUCAUCACUCUAGCAAAAUUGGUUCUAUUUCCUCCUUUUCUCUCUCUUAAUAUAUAUGUAUAUAUGUGUGUCAUGAUACUCAUCUUAUUCCACUUUAUAUUGUCUUUACUAAUUGCAAUAUCAAACCAAUUACAUUCAUUCAACAUCUUAGAUAUGUAAAUCUCUUUAAUGUACCUUUUGAUGAUUUUAUUAUGCAAAAGGAUUAUGAUGUUUGAUUUUCUGUUUUUAUAUAUAGAUGUGUGAUGCUUGUUCAUUUUGAUUUCUAUUUGAUAAUUAUUAGAUUUUUCCAAGUUUUUAUAAAUGCAUGCAACCUGUUCGAUGGAAUUCCUGAACUAAUUUAAUUUGUAUCAAAGAAAAAGGUAACUAAUCCAAAUGACAAAAAUUUAACAUGUGUUGAUGAAACUAUCAUGCCAUUAUUACAACUUAAUGAUUGAUACCUAAUUAUUUAUUAGGCAUCUAUAAUCUUGAGUUAUGUUAACAACUACUUUUAGAUUAUUUUUUUAAUCUUUAUUAAGCUUGUAAUUCUAAUUAUAAUAUGUCAUCAACAAAUGAUAAUAACAGGAUUCUGGUUGGAAUCCUAAUGUUUCUAUUCCAAGUUCUCAAUCGAGCUUACAAGCCACUCUUAGAUGGUAGCAGUGGCCCAAACCAUCCAAUAAACGCAGCAACCAUUGGUUCUACACAUCCAAUAAACGCAACAGCCAUUGCUCUUCUUUGUAAUUGAGAAUAUAUUAGAAUAUUAGUUUGUAACUUGGCACCUUGAUCAAUCAAAUUGCAUGCUUCUUGUUAAAUUUACAUCCCUCACAUGGUUGUUCGUCUCUUAGGAUUUAAUUUAAUGUGACUUUUAG